UACGUAGGGUGCAAGCGUUACUCGGAAUUACUGGGCGUAAAGCGUGCGUAGGCGGUUCGUUAAGUCUGACGUGAAAUCCCCGGGCUCAACCUGGGACGUGCGUUGGAAACUGGCGAUCUAGAGUACGGUAGAGGGUGGUGGAAUUCCCGGUGUAGCAGUGAAAUGCGUAGAGAUCGGGAGGAACACUCGUGGCGAAGGCGGCCACCUGGACCAGUACUGACGCUGAGGAACGAUAGCGUGGGGAACAAACAGG
Molecule: ribosomal RNA, 253 nt
Filed under: uncultured bacterium
Lineage: Bacteria
Description: partial 16S ribosomal RNA
Rfam family: Bacterial small subunit ribosomal RNA
Source: RNAcentral